RNAcentral lists this ribosomal RNA (253 nucleotides) under uncultured bacterium. Its description in RNAcentral is "partial 16S ribosomal RNA". It matches the Rfam family "Bacterial small subunit ribosomal RNA", at positions 524 to 776 of the family's 1533-position model. The record is from RNAcentral.
UAUGAAGGGGGCUAGCGUUGCUCGGAAUCACUGGGCGUAAAGCGCACGUAGGCGGAUUGUUAAGUCAGGGGUGAAAUCCUGGAGCUCAACUCCAGAACUGCCUUUGAUACUGGCGAUCUCGAGUCCGGGAGAGGUGAGUGGAACUGCGAGUGUAGAGGUGAAAUUCGUAGAUAUUCGCAAGAACACCAGUGGCGAAGGCGGCUCACUGGCCCGGUACUGACGCUGAGGUGCGAAAGCGUGGGGAGCAAACAGG